RNAcentral lists this non-coding RNA (45 nucleotides) under Schistosoma curassoni. The record is from RNAcentral. Lineage: Eukaryota; Metazoa; Platyhelminthes; Trematoda; Strigeidida; Schistosomatidae.
AUCUAUCUGACGAGUCCCAAAUAGGACGAAGCGUGCGUCUUAGAU